This 132-nucleotide small nucleolar RNA is filed under the name Octodon degus (degu). Lineage: Eukaryota; Metazoa; Chordata; Mammalia; Rodentia; Octodontidae. The record is from RNAcentral.
GGCGGCCCUUAUCGAAGCUGCAGCUACUUCUGUGUAGUUGCAGUCAAAAAGGAGCCCAGAGUAACAAUUUUCCUUGACGGUCGCCGUUCUGUUUGCUGUAACUGAUCUGCAACAUUUUGGGGAAAGACAGUU